AGGACGGGAGGAAAGGAGGACGUGGU
RNAcentral lists this microRNA (26 nucleotides) under Canis lupus familiaris (dog). Its description in RNAcentral is "Cfa-Mir-483_5p (mature (co-guide))". The record is from RNAcentral. Lineage: Eukaryota; Metazoa; Chordata; Mammalia; Carnivora; Canidae.